UACGGAGGGUGCAAGCGUUAUCCGGAUUUAUUGGGUUUAAAGGGUGCGUAGGUGGAAUGAUAAGUCAGUGGUGAAAUCCUGCAGCUUAACUGUAGAACUGCCAUUGAUACUGUUGUUCUUGAGUGCAGAUGAGGUAGGCGGAAUGAGUAGUGUAGCGGUGAAAUGCUUAGAUAUUACUCAGAACACCGAUUGCGAAGGCAGCUUACUAAACUGUAACUGACACUGAUGCACGAAAGCGUGGGGAUCGAACAGGAUUAGAUACCCUGGUAGUCCACGCCGUAAACGAUGCUCACUCGCUGUUUGCGAUACACAGCAAGCGGCUUAGCGAAAGUGAUAAGUGAGCCACCUGGGGAGUACGAUCGCAAGGUUGAA
Molecule: ribosomal RNA, 372 nt
Filed under: uncultured bacterium
Lineage: Bacteria
Description: bacterial SSU rRNA
Rfam family: Bacterial small subunit ribosomal RNA
Source: RNAcentral